RNAcentral lists this transfer RNA (71 nucleotides) under Marmota monax (woodchuck). It matches the Rfam family "tRNA". Rfam says of the family: Transfer RNA (tRNA) molecules are approximately 80 nucleotides in length. The record is from Rfam by way of RNAcentral. RNAcentral also lists the same sequence under 1 other name. Lineage: Eukaryota; Metazoa; Chordata; Mammalia; Rodentia; Sciuridae.
GUGGUUGUGGCUCAGGGGUAGAGUGCUCGCCUAGCACGUCCGAGGCCCUGGGUUCAAUCCUCAGCACCACA